This 378-nucleotide unclassified non-coding RNA is filed under the name fungal sp. Its description in RNAcentral is "partial internal transcribed spacer region". The stretch from base 1 to 46 matches the Rfam family "Eukaryotic small subunit ribosomal RNA", at positions 1786 to 1831 of the family's 1831-position model. Lineage: Eukaryota; Fungi. The record is from RNAcentral.
AAGUCGUAACAAGGUUUCCGUAGGUGAACCUGCGGAAGGAUCAUUAACACGUAUCCAACGUUAAACAACCCUGUGAACCUUGAACGUGCUCCUGCAGCCCCAUGAAAUCAAUCCCUGGUAAAUCAUUGUUGACCAGCUUUUGAGUCAGGGACCUCUGCCGAAACGGCUGUUCAGUACCGAGCGCGGUGUAAGAGUGUCUGAAAGUGUCAUUGAUUGUGUAAGGAUGGCGCAGUAAACGAUUGCUAGAGGCCCACACGGCCGGCAACCAGGUCCCAGGGCUCACGCCCCUUUAUCACCCCACAGUUUCCGACUGGGCAGCCGAUAAUACGGACACCGUAAAAAACUGAACAACUGUUAACAAUGGAUAUCUUGGUUCUC